CUUGCGCGAGGGAAAGAGGCAUGUAUACCUCUAUGGAAACUAUUUGAUCGACUUUGCGAUAAGUACGAUUUGGGGCAGGUGUGGUGGCAUGACAAAAGGAUUUCUGGAGGUCUUGAGUUCGUGUCAACCUAAAGGUACUUCAAGAGCCUUCAUGAUGGGGAUUCUACGCUCCUUCAUUACUAGUACUGUGUCUUGAGGAACAACACCAAUAGCACUGCGAAGUGAUUUCUGCGUCACCUGGUCAAAACAACCAAUACAUCGUCGUUUUUGCAAAAUUUAACUGGAACAGAGAUAGAUCCUUCAAGGAUGUCAUAAAAUCUGUACAACAGCCUGAUAAUCGUGCUCUUCCCGCCACCCGAGUUUCCAACAAAUGCUACCGUCUGACCAGGAUACACUUUGAAGGAAACAUUUUUCACGACGUGGUUGCUAAAAAAUAGAAUUUUGAAGACUUCGUCUGAGGCUUAUGUCAAACGCCGAAUUUCAAAUGAGCCGAACCUAAUGACAUCUAAGAAGACCGUAAUAUCACUCGUGCCACACACCAUUCUCGUCAGUUCCCGCGGAGCCUAGAGUUCCUUGCAGGCUCUAACCAAUAAGACUAAAAUAAAACUUCAAUUAUAUCGACUCCUAAAAUAAACACUCAGGAGCUCUCAGAUGAUCUCACUAAAAGAUCGAAUUCGAAAUUUAGCUCGAUUGGAUUUGUGGGAGAGCAAUAGCAAAGAACCCAGAGAAAAACCAUCAAGGGAGAGACCUUACAAACUCUGCUCACAAGUGAUGUCGAGUCCAGGAAUUGAACCAGAGACCCGAGAUGCAGGUGCACUAUCACAACAUCACCCUUGUUUCUCGAAUUCCCGUACAUUUUCACUCGAGAAAAGCAAUAUUUGCACAUGAAGACUGUUCACAGGUAGAAAAAUCUCCUACAAAGAUCAUGCGUUCGCCUUGAUGUGAAAUGCCUUACCUCAGAUUGUAACCAAAACUCACGUCCUUGAACUCAAUAAGCCCAUUAGAAACAUUGAGAAUAGUUGCGUC
This 1026-nucleotide long non-coding RNA is filed under the name Actinia tenebrosa (Australian red waratah sea anemone). RNAcentral describes it as "uncharacterized LOC116294088, transcript variant X2". The record is from RNAcentral. Lineage: Eukaryota; Metazoa; Cnidaria; Anthozoa; Actiniaria; Actiniidae.